GGUUAAGUUAGAAAGGGCGCACGGUGGAUGCCUUGGCACUAGGAGCCGAAGAAGGACGGGACUAACACCGAUAUGCUUUGGGGAGCUGUACGUAAGCGUUGAUCCAGAGAUUUCCGAAUGGGGGAACCCACUAUCUUUAGUCGGAUAGUAUCCUUACGUGAAUACAUAGCGUGAGGAAGGCAGACCCAGGGAACUGAAACAUCUAAGUACCUGGAGGAAGAGAAAGAAAAAUCGAUUUCCUGAGUAGCGGCGAGCGAAACGGAAAGAGCCCAAACCAAGAAGCUUGCUUCUUGGGGUUGUAGGACACUCUAUACGGAGUUACAAAAGAAAGUUAUAAAUGAAGCGGUCUGGAAAGGCCCGCCAAAGACGGUAACAGCCCGGUAGUUGAAAUGGCUUUCCCUCCAGAGUGGAUCCUGAGUACGGCGGAACACGUGAAAUUCCGUCGGAAUCCGGGAGGACCAUCUCCCAAGGCUAAAUACUCCCUAGUGACCGAUAGUGAACCAGUACCGUGAGGGAAAGGUGAAAAGCACCCCGGAAGGGGAGUGAAACAGUUCCUGAAACCGUGUGCCUACAAGUAGUUAGAGCCCGUUAAUGGGUGAUAGCGUGCCUUUUGUAGAAUGAACCGGCGAGUUACGAUUUGUUGCAAGGUUAAGCGGAAAAAGCGGAGCCGUAGCGAAAGCGAGUCUGAAUAGGGCGCAUAAGUAACAGGUCGUAGACCCGAAACCAGGUGAUCUACCCAUGUCCAGGAUGAAGGUAAGGUAAUACUUACUGGAGGUCCGAACCCACGCACGUUGAAAAGUGCGGGGAUGAGGUGUGGGUAGCGGAGAAAUUCCAAUCGAACUUGGAGAUAGCUGGUUCUCUCCGAAAUAGCUUUAGGGCUAGCCUCGAGGUAAAGAGUCAUGGAGGUAGAGCACUGUUUGGACUAGGGGCCCUUCUCGGGUUACCGAAUUCAGAUAAACUCCGAAUGCCAUGUACUUAUACUCGGGAGUCAGACUGCGAGUGAUAAGAUCCGUAGUCGAAAGGGAAACAGCCCAGACCACCAGUUAAGGUCCCCAAAUAUAUGUUAAGUGGAAAAGGAUGUGGGGUUGCUUAGACAACCAGGAUGUUGGCUUAGAAGCAGCCACCAUUGAAAGAGUGCGUAAUAGCUCACUGGUCGAGUGACCCCGCGCCGAAAAUGUACCGGGGCUAAACAUAUUACCGAAACUGUGGAUGAACCUCUUUAGAGGUUCGUGGUAGGAGAGCGUUCUAAGGGCGGUGAAGUCAGACCGGAAGGACUGGUGGAGCGCUUAGAAGUGAGAAUGCCGGUAUGAGUAGCGAAAGAAGGGUGAGAAUCCCUUCCACCGAAUAUCUAAGGUUUCCUGAGGAAGGCUCGUCCGCUCAGGGUUAGUCGGGACCUAAGCCGAGGCCGAUAGGCGUAGGCGAUGGACAACAGGUAGAGAUUCCUGUACCAGUGCUAAUUGUUUAACCGAUGGGGUGACACAGAAGGAUAGGGAAUCGCACGAAUGGAAAUGUGCGUCCAA
RNAcentral lists this ribosomal RNA (1520 nucleotides) under Listeria monocytogenes. RNAcentral's name for it is "partial 23S ribosomal RNA". It matches the Rfam family "Bacterial large subunit ribosomal RNA", at positions 1 to 1515 of the family's 2925-position model. Lineage: Bacteria; Bacillati; Bacillota; Bacilli; Caryophanales; Listeriaceae. The record is from RNAcentral.